CGUUAGUGGGGCGGUGGAGAAGGUUCCGUCAAAGUCACUGAGGCGUUUAGGUGGCGUGCACUUUGAACAAAAAAAGAAACGUAACAAUGUUAAUUUCAUAAUAGUAAAAACGGAAGAAGGCGAGUGAAUGUGGCGCACUCCAAAGGGAGGCGCUUCAGCGUGCAUUCUGUGUGCUACAUACAUUCCAGCCUGUAAAAGUAUUUGCAUGUAGUUGCGUUUAGGAGAAAAGUCGAGAGGACUGAACAGCUGUUAACAUGCAGUAAGGAGAUGACUGCGACUUUGUGCUUGCACAACAAACUGUGGCUAGAAUGGGAAACCCUGUGAAGGAAAAGAAGGGCUCUAUAACACAGGACGAGGUACACUCUAUAACUGCUAGCAAUCAUACAGAGGGUAAUAAAGAGAGUCAUAAUGUAUUAAACUCCUUGGUGUCUGGAGCAUUUGCUGGAGCUGUGGCCAAGACAGCAGUGGCGCCAUUGGACAGGACAAAGAUAAUAUUUCAAGUUUCGGCAAGAAGAUUUUCAGCUAAGGAAGCCUACAAGGUAAUUUAUCACACAUACCUUAAUGAUGGCUUCUUCAGUCUGUGGCGAGGAAAUUCUGCCACUAUGGUCCGUGUCAUCCCCUAUGCAGCCAUCCAGUUUUGCUCACAUGAACAGUACAAAAGACUUCUUGGAGGUUAUUAUGGCUUCCAAGGAAGAGCUUUACCCCCUUUUCCUCGCUUCCUGGCUGGAUCUUUAGCAGGAAUUACUGCUUCCAUGCUGACAUACCCAUUGGACAUGGUCCGAGCUCGGAUGGCAGUUACACCUAAAGAAAUGUACAGCAAUAUAUUUCACGUGUUCAUUCGUAUCUCCCAGGAGGAGGGUCUUCCCACAUUGUAUCGAGGGUUUACACCUACAAUUCUAGGAGUGAUUCCUUAUGCUGGACUAAGCUUUUUCACCUAUGAAACCCUAAAGAAGCUUCAUGCAGAUCACAGUGGUCGUCUGCAGCCUUAUUCAUAUGAGCGUCUAAUAUUUGGUGCCUGUGCUGGUCUUAUUGGACAGUCAGCUUCAUACCCUCUGGAUGUGGUUCGUCGGCGUAUGCAGACUGCUGGUGUGACAGGCCACACGUACAACUCCAUUGUUGGCACCAUACAAGAGAUUGUCAGAGAGGAGGGCUUUGUGCGGGGACUUUACAAAGGACUUAGUAUGAACUGGGUAAAGGGACCCAUUGCAGUGGGUAUUAGUUUCACAACUUUUGACCUGACACAGAUUCUUCUGCGAAAGCUGCAGCAAUGUGGUUAUAUCCAGCAGUAACCAAAACUGAAGAAUUGUGGAUGGACAUGAGAUGAGUGCAAGGGGUCAUAGCAAGAAGAUGAUACAGAAGAUGCUUUCAUAAAUCUUACAAUAUAUUGGAAGAUGGCUAUUGGCACAAUUAUGAACCCCUAAAUAUAAAUAUAUCCCAUAAAAAAGGAAGAGGACCAGAAGAACAGUGCUUAUAUGACUGCACAUGGAUGCACUGUAAAAAAAAGAAGUACUUUUAUUAUUCAUGCUCAAUUAUUUCCACUUUCCUUUCUUCUUAAUUUUACAUGUUUCAAAGAUGGUUGCAUUUGAAUUCAUUUAGCUGUUGUAUUGAGCAAAUGGUGGAUGGAUUUUAGUUUUUAACACCUUUUCUAUCACCGAACAAACUGUAAUUUCUGUGCUAAACUGUGUAAUAUUGUUCUGUCAAACAAGAUGCGGAAGUCACUUUCUGCAACAAAUUCAAAACUGUGUACCAUGUUCCACUAUUGAUUAGCUACUUUGAAGAGAUUAGUAAUACUUUUCUUCUCCUGGAAAUGUAACUAUUAAUUAAAGUUUCACUGGCUUCUAACCAUAA
Molecule: RNA transcript, 1848 nt
Organism: Erpetoichthys calabaricus (reedfish)
Lineage: Eukaryota; Metazoa; Chordata; Cladistia; Polypteriformes; Polypteridae
Gene: slc25a42
Gene name: solute carrier family 25 member 42
Exons: 9
Source: RefSeq, a predicted model, not a curated record